RNAcentral lists this ribosomal RNA (275 nucleotides) under uncultured bacterium. RNAcentral's name for it is "partial 16S ribosomal RNA". It matches the Rfam family "Bacterial small subunit ribosomal RNA", at positions 338 to 605 of the family's 1533-position model. The record is from RNAcentral.
CCUACGGGUGGCUGCAGUGGGGAAUUUUGGACAAUGGGGGCAACCCUGAUCCAGCCAUUCCGCGUGAGUGAAGAAGGCCUUCGGGUUGUAAAGCUCUUUUGUCCGGAACGAAACGGUUACGGUGAAUACCCGUGACUACUGACGGUACCGGAAGAAUAAGCACCGGCUAACUACGUGCCAGCAGCCGCGGUAAUACGUAGGGUGCGAGCGUUAAUCGGAAUUACUGGGCGUAAAGCGUGCGCAGGCGGUUUUGUAAGCCAGAUGUGAAAUCCCCG